UGUUCUCCUAUGGAACACAAAGUACCUGAAGUGGAAUGAAGAAGCCCAUGUUUGAGGCCUGCGCCCUGGCGGGAGCAUUGAAGGGGCAUCUGACAGGUUACACAACGCUGAUCUAUCCAGGACGGCUUCAGGAUGGACUAUAAGAAGGAGGUUCAGUCCCGAUUGGGUCCGGCGCAACCUCAGGGAGUACAUAUACAGCGGCCUUGGUUUACGACGACGCACAAUGGCACAAAGAAGAACUAAGAGCAGCGCUCUGGAGACUGAACAACCUCCUGAUGCGGAAAAUGAAUGGAUCGC
Bufo gargarizans (Asiatic toad) is the source of this 297-nucleotide long non-coding RNA. RefSeq lists it as uncharacterized. The transcript is spliced from 3 exons. Lineage: Eukaryota; Metazoa; Chordata; Amphibia; Anura; Bufonidae. The record is from RefSeq and is a predicted model, not a curated record.